CAGGUUAAUAGUUUAAGGAGAAUAGUUACUUUGGGUGUAACAGGUUACUUUGUAUGGCUUGA
Molecule: transfer RNA, 62 nt
Filed under: Seison sp. MS-2015
Lineage: Eukaryota; Metazoa; Rotifera; Pararotatoria; Seisonacea; Seisonidae
Description: tRNA-Pro
Source: RNAcentral